RNAcentral lists this ribosomal RNA (466 nucleotides) under uncultured bacterium. Its description in RNAcentral is "partial 16S ribosomal RNA". It matches the Rfam family "Bacterial small subunit ribosomal RNA", at positions 28 to 505 of the family's 1533-position model. The record is from RNAcentral.
GACGAACGCUGGCGGCGUGCUUAACACAUGCAAGUCGAACGGAAAGGCCCUGCUUUUGUGGGGUGCUCGAGUGGCGAACGGGUGAGUAACACGUGAGUAACCUGCCCUUGACUUUGGGAUAACUUCAGGAAACUGGGGCUAAUACCGGAUAGGAGCUCCUGCUGCAUGGUGGGGGUUGGAAAGUUUCGGCGGUUGGGGAUGGACUCGCGGCUUAUCAGCUUGUUGGUGGGGUAGUGGCUUACCAAGGCUUUGACGGGUAGCCGGCCUGAGAGGGUGACCGGCCACAUUGGGACUGAGAUACGGCCCAGACUCCUAUGGGAGGCAGCAGUGGGGAAUAUUGCACAAUGGGCGGAAGCCUGAUGCAGCAACGCCGCGUGCGGGAUGACGGCCUUCGGGUUGUAAACCGCUUUCGCCUGUGACGAAGCGUGAGUGACGGUAAUGGGUAAAGAAGCACCGGCUAACUACG